RNAcentral lists this ribosomal RNA (362 nucleotides) under Salmonella enterica. RNAcentral describes it as "partial 23S ribosomal RNA". It matches the Rfam family "Bacterial large subunit ribosomal RNA", at positions 1 to 399 of the family's 2925-position model. The record is from RNAcentral. Lineage: Bacteria; Pseudomonadati; Pseudomonadota; Gammaproteobacteria; Enterobacterales; Enterobacteriaceae.
GGUUAAGCGACUAAGCGUACACGGUGGAUGCCCUGGCAGUCAGAGGCGAUGAAGGGCGUGCUAAUCUGCGAUAAGCGCCGGUAAGGUGAUAUGAACCGUUAUAACCGGCGAUACCCGAAUGGGGAAACCCAGUGUGACUCGUCACACUAUCAUUAACUGAAUCCAUAGGUUAAUGAGGCGAACCGGGGGAACUGAAACAUCUAAGUACCCCGAGGAAAAGAAAUCAACCGAGAUUCCCCCAGUAGCGGCGAGCGAACGGGGAGGAGCCCAGAGCCUGAAUCAGCAUGUGUGUUAGUGGAAGCGUCUGGAAAGGCGCGCGAUACAGGGUGACAGCCCCGUACACAAAAGCGCAUGUGCUGUGA